UAGCUUCUAAAUGAAUAAUGUCAGAAGAUGUAUCAGUGUUUCUAAUUUGUACUCUUCUUUUUCAUUUGGCAGAUAAACAUUUUCAAUGGAGAUGAUGAAAUCAGUGCAGACAAGGCUGCUUUUAUUUAGAAGAAGGAAUGAAAAGCAUGUUUUUAAGCUAGUGGAUUGGCAAAUCGAGUCAAAGGUUUUAAAGGAUCUGGCUGCUGCCCGACUGAUUUAAAGAAUAUCAUUUUCUGAUGAAAUAGGGGGAAAAGAAGGUGCUAGGGGGUGAAGAAGUAUGGGAUUUUAUCACCAAAGACCUCAGAGCAACCUGAGUGCCAGAGUUCUGGACUUGGACAGAAUAACUGGUCCUAAACUUGCCCUCCUGCUGCCAGACAGAAGGCACAAGGCAACUAUUUUGAUCUCCACUGGAAAAUAAGACACAAAGUAGUUUGAUUCUGCAGAGAAAAGAAACAAGUAAGGUAAACCUCACAUUUGCCUGAGCUUUCUUCCUUGAAUAUUUUUCUGGUUAUAAUGUCGAAGCAGACUAAGGUAAUCAAACCGAGCAGAACAGACGAUUAGAUUUUGGAUCUGGUGAAGUAGCUGAAUUUUCAGGGCAAGAACUAGGAAGGAGAGACAUAUGCAGGGAAAGAACCCAGAAGUUUGCACAGGUAUUCCCACAGGUGUUUGGCUAUGCACAGGGUGAAACUCUAUGAGGUAUACCAGAGAACAGCUAUUGCAAGAGUGAGCACUGAACAGAGAUACCAGAAAAUGAAUUAGAGUUGCCCAGCCAGACUAAGGCGACUGUGAGUGCCUUAGGCAUUCUGCUGCAUCCCAAGAAAGACUAUGCUUUAGGAAUAAAGACCAUGGUCUAGGAUUAGGUACA
This 865-nucleotide long non-coding RNA is filed under the name Felis catus (domestic cat). RNAcentral describes it as "lncRNA (ENSFCAG00000048239.1)". Lineage: Eukaryota; Metazoa; Chordata; Mammalia; Carnivora; Felidae. The record is from RNAcentral.